UGGGGGAUAUUGCACAAUGGGCGAAAGCCUGAUGCAGCGACGCCGCGUGGGGGAUGAAGGCUUUCGGGUUGUAAACCUCUUUCGCUAUCGAACAAGGCCCGCUUAGGGUGGGUUGAGGGUAGGUGGAGAAGAAGCGCCGGCUAACUACGUGCCAGCAGCCGCGGUAAUACGUAGGGCGCGAGCGUUGUCCGGAAUUAUUGGGCGUAAAGGGCUUGUAGGCGUCUUGUUGCGCCUGCUGUGAAAACGCGGGGCUUAACUUCGCGCGUGCAGUGGGUACGGGCAAGCUUGAGUGUGGUAGGGGUGACUGGAAUUCCAGGUGUAGCGGUGGAAUGCGCAGAUAUCAGGAGGAACACCGAUGGCGAAGGCAGGUCACUGGGCCAUUACUGACGCUGAGGAGCGAAAGCAUGGGUAGCGAACAGG
Molecule: ribosomal RNA, 420 nt
Filed under: bacterium
Lineage: Bacteria
Description: partial 16S ribosomal RNA
Rfam family: Bacterial small subunit ribosomal RNA
Source: RNAcentral